RNAcentral lists this unclassified non-coding RNA (1662 nucleotides) under Hevea brasiliensis (rubber tree). The record is from RNAcentral. Lineage: Eukaryota; Viridiplantae; Streptophyta; Magnoliopsida; Malpighiales; Euphorbiaceae.
GAAGAAACACCUAAUGAACUAGCAUGUGAAGAAAAAGCUGAAGAACCAGCAGUUGAAGAGGUGAAACCUGAAGAACCAACAGGUGAAGAAGAAAAACCUGAAAAGAAUUUGCUAGUUGCAGACUCGAAGGAAAAAACUGACAGUAAAAUUCCCUGCAAUUCUAGCAAUGAUGCUGCUCAGUUUUUAGAAGAUGAUAAAAACCCUGAAAAACCAGCCGCCGUGAAAAAACUGGUUAUUGAAGAGAAACUUGAUAUACCAGCAAUUAUGGAGAAACCUGAAGAACCAACAAUUGAGGAGAAAUCUGAAGAACCAGUUGAGGAGAAACCUAAAGAACCAACUGUUGAAGAGAAACUUGAAGAACCAACAACUAAAGAAACACAUGAAGAGCUAGCAGGGGAGGAAGCACCUGAAGAACUACCACUUGAACAGAAACCUGAAGAACCAAUAGUUGGAGAGACCUCUGAAGAGAUAGCUUUCGAAGAGAAACAUGACAAACCAGCAAUUGAAGAGGAAAAACCAGAAAUGGAAACUUUCCUAGAGAAGAAUAUGCCAAUUAUCGACUCAAAGGACAAGAAUGACAGUGAAAUUCUAGGCAAUUCAAACAAUGAUGUUGCUUACUAUCCAACAGUUGAAGAUAAAGCUGAAGUACAGGUAGUCAAAGAAAAACAUGAAAAACAAGUGAUUGAAGAGAAAUGUGAAGAACCAGCGGUUGAUGAAAAAACUGAUGAACCAGCAGUGACAGAGAAACCUGAAGAACCACCGGCAGUGGAAAAAGAAACUGAAGAACAAGUCCUCGAGGAGAAACUUGAAGAACCAACAGUUGAGAAAUCUGAGGAACCUGUAGUUGAAGAAACACCUGAAGAUCUAGCAGUUGAAAAGAACCUUGAGAAACUAGUAACCGAAGAGAAACCUGAAAAGGUAACUUUGUUGGAAGAGAAUAUGUCAGCUAUAGAUUCAAACGGGAAGACUGACACUGAAACUGCAUGUGAUAACAACAUUGAUGUUGCAGACUAUCCAGCAGUUGAGGAAAAAACUGAAGAACCAAUGGUUGAGGAAAAACAUGAGGAACCGAUUGUUGAGGAUAAAGCUGAAGAACCAGUAACAAAUGAGAAACUUCAAAAAUUGGCAAUUGCAGAAACACUUGAAGAGCAAGCAAGAGCGGAAACACCUGAAGACCUAACAAUUGAGGAGAAACCCAACAAACCAGCAGUUGACGAGAUACCGGGAGAACUAGCUAUUGAACAGAAAUCUGAAAAACAAGUAGUUGAAACGGUGACUCUCUUGGAAAAGAAUAUGCCAGAUAUGGACUCAAGUCGCUCAACAGACAAGAUCAAUGGUGAAAUUCUGUGCAACGACAACAGUGAUGUUUCUGACUAUCCAGCUGUUGAGGAAAAACAUGAAGAAAUAGUAAUAGGGGAAAAAUAUGAGGAUCUAGCACCGAAAGACAAACUUAAAGAACCAGUUGUAUCGGAGAAAGUCGAAGAACUAAUGGUUGAGGAGACACCUGAAAAAUUAGUAGUUGAAGAGAAGCUUGACGAAACAGCUGCAGGGGAAGAAACAGUUGAUAAACCAGCACCGGAGGAGACACCUGAAAAAUUAGUAGUUGAAGAGAAGCUUGACGAAACAGCUGCAGGGGAAGAAACAGUUGAUAAACCAGCACCG